CUGGCACCAGAUGUGCAUGACAUGUGUCAUCUCACCAUUGGUUGGUGGGUUCAGCGGUAGAUGGCGUCAAACCCGAGUCAUAUCAACUCUUCUCUGCCAUGUUUAUGCUAGAUAAAACUUUAUAAAAUUACUCGUUAGUUUUAGUGCAAGCAACUACUACGAAAGUUCUUUUACGUUUUAACCCAUGUUCAUGACAUGCAUACAUUUAUUCAGCAAUAGAAUGCAUGGGCCGAUGUCUGCUCCUCCUGAGAGCCAGCCACACAAGAUUAGUUGUUGCAAUGGAUGCACAUCAAUACCGAUAUUCAUCCUAGCCAGUAAGGGAUGUGCUAGGUUUUGGAUC
RNAcentral lists this long non-coding RNA (340 nucleotides) under Elaeis guineensis (African oil palm). RNAcentral's name for it is "long non-coding RNA (EGUI_LNC048752)". Lineage: Eukaryota; Viridiplantae; Streptophyta; Magnoliopsida; Arecales; Arecaceae. The record is from RNAcentral.